RNAcentral lists this ribosomal RNA (492 nucleotides) under uncultured bacterium. Its description in RNAcentral is "partial 16S ribosomal RNA". It matches the Rfam family "Bacterial small subunit ribosomal RNA", at positions 29 to 507 of the family's 1533-position model. The record is from RNAcentral.
AGUGAACGCUGGCGGUAGGCCUAACACAUGCAAGUCGAACGGCAGCACAGUAAGAGCUUGCUCUUACGGGUGGCGAGUGGCGGACGGGUGAGGAAUACAUCGGAAUCUACUUUUUCGUGGGGGAUAACGUAGGGAAACUUACGCUAAUACCGCAUGCGACCUACGGGUGAAAGCAGGGGAUCUUCGGACCUUGCGCGAUUGAAUGAGCCGAUGUCGGAUUAGCUAGUUGGCGGGGUAAAGGCCCACCAAGGCGACGAUCCGUAGCUGGUCUGAGAGGAUGAUCAGCCACACUGGAAGUGGGACACGGUCCAGACUCCUACGGGAGGCAGCAGUGGGGAAUAUUGGACAAUGGGCGCAAGCCUGAUCCAGCCAUACCGAGUGGGUGAAGAAGGCCUUCGGGUUGUAAAGCCCUUUUGUUGGGAAAGAAAAGCAGCAGGUUAAUACCCCGCUGUUCCGACGGUACCCAAAGAAUAAGCACCGGCUAACUUCGUG